Molecule: long non-coding RNA, 4234 nt
Organism: Piliocolobus tephrosceles (Ugandan red Colobus)
Lineage: Eukaryota; Metazoa; Chordata; Mammalia; Primates; Cercopithecidae
Exons: 2
Source: RefSeq, a predicted model, not a curated record
UGGACUGGAAAGUGAGAAGUCUCUAGGAUACCUAGAAUAAGGUCUUACUUGACAGUCGUCAGAAAAACACACCCUAACCUCUUCAAUUUUCUGUUACAGCCCAUUGGAAAAUGCUGGUGUUGUCAUUGUUUUUUCUGGUGUCUUCAAGGUUAACUCCGCUUUGGAAACAACUGAAGCCCUGUAUUGGGAGAGUCCUAAUCUGCCCAUCCACACCACUAGUGGUUGUAUAGUGGGAACAGGUGGGCUUGGGAAGUAGUGGAGAUUUGAACAGGGCUCAGGCCGUUUGGGAUCUUGUGUUGUAGGACUAGGGUUCAGGGAGGCAUGACACAGGCUGCUUGCACUGAUACAUGGUUUGUUCAACAAUGGUUCUGGGCCCUGGGGUCCCAGCAGAGCUCCCUGAUUUCAGCCUCCUGAGGGCUCAUUCAGACUUCUUAUUCAGAUCUGACUCUGUCACCCCAGGACAUGUUUCUUAGACAUUUCCCAGAGCUCUCUGUAUCCCAGGGUGGGAAAUUCUCAGUUGCCUCCAUCCUUACACAAUGAACUGCUGCCUCACCCAGGAUGAAUGGGGCUCUGUCCCUGGUGCUGAACGCGUGCCUCUGGUCGUGUGCUGGGAGAUAGAUGAGUUCUCAGGCAAAGGCAGAAAACAUAUGAACAUCAGAAGACAGACAUGGAGUGAGGUGCCUCCCACCAUCCAAGAGUUUCCAUUAUUGGUUUCCUUUUAAGCUAUUCACUGGGUGACAAAUUUACUUGUCAUCCUAUAUCACCAAAGUCAUUGUACAAAACAUCUAUCACAGGAUUUUUCACACAGGCCAGGAAUGGACACUCAGACCAUGUGUAGACUCUUUGCUGAGUCAAAUGUCAUCCUCUGCCUCCUGCUUUAUUCUUAAGCUGGGAAGUUUCUCUUCAUUCAUUCACUUCUUUAUAGGUUCUCCCUUGAGGUCUUGUGAAUCCUUAAUUUUUCAUGACUAAAUACUUCCUUUUCUUUCAUAACACAUAGUAUCUGAUUUUCUGGGAAACUUUCUAUUUGGCAAAUAUGGGACUAGGGAUGUCAAUGUGAGUUCUCCAUGGAAAGACUGAUCUCACUGAUUUAGAAUUUGUGGUGGUUCUUGUGAUAAGAUACCUGAAGAAAAUAUUGCUCUUACGUGACAUUAAAGAAGAAAAAUGUGACACUUAAGCUUUUGGCUCAGAGGAGGUCAAGGUGCACCUUUCUUCGGUCAUCCCAAAUCUGGGUUCAUCCAACACCAGCCGCCACCACCAUGACCCCAGUGAGAUCAAAGUUCUAUACCUCAGGUGCUGGGGGUGAAAUCGGUGCCACUUCUGUUCUGGCCCCCAAGAUUAGCCCCUUGGUCUGUCUCCAAAAAUGGUUGGUGAUGACAUUGACAAGGCAACGGGUGACUGGAAGGGCCUGAGGAUUAUGGUAAAACUGAACAUUCAAAACAGGCCCAGAUUGAGGUGCUGCCUUCUGCUUCUGCCCUAAUCAUCAAAGCCCCCCAAGGAACCACCAAGAGACAGAAAGAAACAGAAAAACAUUAAACACAGUAGGAAUAUCACUUUUGAUGAGAUCAUCGACAUUGCUCGACAGACCCAGCACCGAUCUUUAGCCAGAGAACUCUCUGGAACCAUUAAAGAGAUCGGGGGAAUGCCCAGUCUGUGGACUGCGAUGUUGACGGCCGCCACCCUUAUGACAUCAUAGAUGACACCAACAGUGGUGCUGUGGAAUGCCCAGCUAGUUAAGAAGCACAAAGGAAAAUAUUUCAGUAAAGGAUCAUUUGACAACGAAAAAAAAAAAAUCUUUGGCUUCAUCUUCAGGGAAAGGCAAAAGACGCUACCAGCCACUUCCCCAACACUACCUCAUCACAUCGCUAUUGUGAAACCUGAAGAAGUGGUCUUUGAGGGAUUUUUCAGAUUUAGCACUUCAGCAGACCCAGGACUGUCGCCUGGUCCUGAGACUCCCUGAGUAUUGCUCCUGCCUGCUGUGCUUGUUCCACCCACUCGGCUUGACUGCACUCAGACCACACUACCACGCCAGAUCCCACACCUGCCACAGGCAAGCCAGGCAUGGUGUGUGAGCAAGCAAGAGUAGGGUCUGGCCACUGUGCACAGCCAAGCACUCUGGCUGCUUCGGUGGAGUGGGCAGCUCCAGGAGCUGGCAUAAAUGCCAUCUCCAUGCAAGGCUGUGGCUGGACCAGAUGUACCACAUACAGCUUCUGCUACAGGCACCUGCAUCUGGACAAGGGGAACAUGGCAGUGCCUGGAAGCUUGGAGACACCAAGAACCGCAGAGCCCCAAAGAGGGUGUCACAGCCCUGACUUGACAAACCCCUCGGUCUCUGGUCCUCAAAAGACUGCAGCUUUUCUCUGCUUCUUGUUACUUGUAAUGUGCAGAGUGGGAGGUCAUGUUUCAGCCCUGUUUGUGUUACAGUUCUUUCAGGGGCGCCAUGGCACCUAAGUUCUUGUUGUAGGUAGCAGGGACCAGCCUGCAUGUGUGAAGUGUGCAGGUGGAACACAGAGCACUCCACCCACCCAGGCGGGUAUCAGAGGAUGGGCCCUCAGGCACUGGUGAGGCCCAACCCUCUCCCUCAGUGACAUCUGCAUUCCUAAUAUUCUUUUUGAACAUCUGAAAGUCCACCAAAUUCCUGCCUGUCAUCUGGGAGAGACUCCGUGAGGCCACGUGGAAAUCACACCCAGGUGUCACCCGGAUAAUGAUUCCAUCUCUUUUGCACUUAUUCCAGAGGCAAAGCCCAUGACAGGAGAAAACUCCAGUGCUCUCCUGUGUGCUGCUUUCCAGAAGCUCAGUCCCCCAGCAGCACUUGUCUUUCCUGAGGCCAGCCUGGGGCAUCUGGGAUCAGGGGCUGCUUGCCUUUCUGGAGGGGCUCAGCUCAGGACUAAGGGGGAUUCUGGGCUGGAAUAGGGGUGUCUGAGUCCCGUCCACAUGGUGUCUAUGACCUGCAGGGGGCGCUUAUGCCAGGUCUUUCUUACAUAGAGAAAACUAGGGUGACAAAAUGUAACCAAUGGGAGUUGGAGUUUACUCUUAUCUCCCAGGAAUCCAUGAGAGUCCUGUGACCCUGGAAGGAGAUGGGGUCCCCAAUAACUAAGGACAUGGCAGUGAGUGAUGCAGCCCAGCUUCCUGUCCUCAAAGAGUUUCAGGCCCACUGUCCCUAGACAGUGACAACCCAGAGUGGGCAGCUCUCGGAUGGGGGAGGCACAGGCUGCUUCUUUGGGAAUUUAGUGGACCCUGCUGCUUGCUGGGAAAAUCCCCCACCUUGGAACUGUAAUGGAUUUCUGGAGAAAUGACACACAGUUGCUCAUGGAUAUAAAAUAAAUUUUAUAACCAAAAUAGGACCCAGUGUCAGCACUCCCCAGGAAGAAGGAUUCAGGCUUGGUCCAGUGUGAAGCAAGUGUGCACUUACCCAGGUGGCUUGCCUAUUUUUGUGCACAGGCCCAUGGUGAGGGUUGCUGCAUGUGAGUUGGGUUUUAAGUGGUUUGAAUGUCCUGCUGCUGCUGAGAGAGGGAGCACAUGCUGUGCCCAGAUGUGCAGUGGAUGUGACUAAGGAUUGAAAAGCUGUCAAUCUCCAAAAUUGAAUUUUCUUGCCAUACAGGGAGAUGAAAAGGCUACUAGAAAAGAGCUUAUCUGACCCUUUGAGAAAAUGAAAAGAUCCCAACCCAGGUAUGUGUGACUGCAAAGUCUCAGGAUUGCUGAGACAGGAGCUCUUGCAUCCACAGAGCCCUGGGCUGGUCCAGCUGCCCUCCCUCCCACCCAGCCUCUGACUCCCCGGCUCUGUCAUCAUCUCCCUCUGCUGAUUUUUCUUCCCAGCCUGACUUAACUGCCCUGAGAGACCAGGACCAAGGCCAAGGACGGCCGGCUGGGCUCCUCCGUGCCCAGAGACACCAACCCAACCCCACCCUGAGGAAUGUGCUUCUCCUUGGCACUGGCUAGUCUCCAGGCCUAAAUUCAACCCUCUUUGUAGCAGGCCAAAUGCCAAGCCCAAUCUCAGCCUGCCCAGGAAGGACCUAGGACUGAGGCUGUGAGCUCUCAACUUGUUUUUCUGGGGCAACAUACCAGGGCAGCUAGUCAGUGAUUUUAGGAAAGACGAGGUGAGCCUGUGCCCAGAGGAUUUUUCCUUCCGGUGUUUAGUAGCUGUUUGGCUGUGACUCACUAGGAAAAACUCACAUCAUAUUAUAUCUGACUGACACACAGCCCAAAAGAAAGUUGAAUUAAACACUGAUGAAUAAGA